UCCGAUAUAGUGUAGGGGCUAUCACAUCACGCUCUCAUUCAGAGCACCGUGGAGACCGGGGUUCGAUUCCCCGUAUCGGAG
RNAcentral lists this transfer RNA (81 nucleotides) under Yarrowia lipolytica. It matches the Rfam family "tRNA". Rfam says of the family: Transfer RNA (tRNA) molecules are approximately 80 nucleotides in length. Lineage: Eukaryota; Fungi; Ascomycota; Dipodascomycetes; Dipodascales. RNAcentral also lists the same sequence under 1 other name. The record is from Rfam by way of RNAcentral.